AAAGACUCGAUUCCUGGGUUUUCGUAUCCAACGUUUGACUAUCCGUCUUAUAUAAAAUUUUUUUAUGAUUAGUAUUUUCAUUAUUGUUAGAUGAUAAAAUAUGAAUAAUAUUUUAUGCGUGACUUAUCUUUUUAAAAUUUUUUUAUAAUUUUUUCAAAUAAGACGGACGAUCAAACGUUGGACACGAAAACCCAGGAAUUGAGUUAUU
Non-coding RNA from Oryza barthii, 208 nucleotides. Lineage: Eukaryota; Viridiplantae; Streptophyta; Magnoliopsida; Poales; Poaceae. The record is from Rfam.